Molecule: long non-coding RNA, 557 nt
Filed under: Rattus norvegicus (Norway rat)
Lineage: Eukaryota; Metazoa; Chordata; Mammalia; Rodentia; Muridae
Description: long non-coding RNA NONRATT003264
Source: RNAcentral
UUUGCAUCAAGAGUCAUGAAGGAGGAACUAUUUACUCAGUGAAGCUGUGUGGAAUAGAGAGGACGGAUGGACAUAGAGGACAGAUCUCUACUCUCAUCCCCACCCCAGUAAAACUAAGUCCACUUUGGAACAUGCAAAGCCACUGAUACAACCAUGGGAGCUGCGACCUCAGGACCUUCUCCAAUCGUAAUCUUCUCUCAAAGGUGCCACCUACAAAUACCAUUGACCAAUGGCACCAAGGAUUUAGUUUCAGCAAGAGCUUUAGAGGGAUAAAUACCUAGGACAUAGCAGGUGGCUCCUGGUAACAAGAUUACCUCACGCUGUCUUGUGUGGCAGAACCUGAGCUUCCUUAGAGACCCAUCUACCAGGCUCAAGAAAGCUCCAAACAGCAGAGACUGUGGUGUUAUCAUUCUGUUUUGUUCUGGUUACUUUUCUGGGCAGCCCAUUCCUAUGUAUUGAAUAAUCCAUAGUCAUUUUUUGUCAUUACUUCUUGAGAGAUCUGUAAACCAGCUCCAACUUUCUGGAACAUUCACUAAAAUAAAUGGGUUUUUCUAUUA